This 72-nucleotide transfer RNA is filed under the name Camelus bactrianus (Bactrian camel). It matches the Rfam family "tRNA". Rfam says of the family: Transfer RNA (tRNA) molecules are approximately 80 nucleotides in length. Their secondary structure includes four short double-helical elements and three loops (D, anti-codon, and T loops). Lineage: Eukaryota; Metazoa; Chordata; Mammalia; Artiodactyla; Camelidae. The record is from Rfam by way of RNAcentral. RNAcentral also lists the same sequence under 2 other names.
GAGGGUGUAGCUCAGUGGUAGAGCACAUGCUUAGCGUGCACAAGGUGCUGGAUUCAAUCCCCAGCACCUCCA